RNAcentral lists this ribosomal RNA (265 nucleotides) under uncultured bacterium. Its description in RNAcentral is "partial 16S ribosomal RNA". It matches the Rfam family "Bacterial small subunit ribosomal RNA", at positions 8 to 269 of the family's 1533-position model. The record is from RNAcentral.
AGAGUUUGAUCAUGGCUCAGAUUGAACGCUGGCGGCAUGCCUUACACAUGCAAGUCGAACGGCAGCAUGAUCUAGCUUGCUAGAUUGAUGGCGAGUGGCGAACGGGUGAGUAAUACAUCGGAACGUGCCCUGUAGUGGGGGAUAACUAGUCGAAAGAUUAGCUAAUACCGCAUACGACCUGAGGGUGAAAGUGGGGGACCGCAAGGCCUCAUGCUAUAGGAGCGGCCGAUGUCUGAUUAGCUAGUUGGUGAGGUAAAGGCUCACC